CUCGAUCGUCAUCCUACGGCUUCCUCAGCGCCGACGACAAGUCGGCAGGGUCCUCCGGCAACGCUGCCGGUGCCCGCUCAUCUACGGAUCGGCGGGCAAGUCCAUGUCCAGGCGCCCACCGGAGUGUGGAGGAGGUUUGAUCGGCGACGGGUAGACGAUCGGCGGGUUCCACGGGGUUUGCGGCGUCGGGUAGAUUAUCGGGGCUUCCCAUUUGCCAUGACCAGGAUGCUUGCGCACCGCCUCCGACACCGUGGAGGAGAGCAUCAGCGGCAGCAGCAUGAGGAGGAGCGCCGCCGUGGCGGCCGGCGUCGUCGUCGUCGCGUUGCUCUUGUGCCCGGCCGCCGCCAUUGUCGGUAGCAGCUGGCUUAGCCUGAGCUUCUUUCGAUCGAUCGAUGCUUCUUGGAUGAGUUGUGC
RNAcentral lists this long non-coding RNA (414 nucleotides) under Setaria viridis. RNAcentral's name for it is "long non-coding RNA (SVIR_LNC002563)". Lineage: Eukaryota; Viridiplantae; Streptophyta; Magnoliopsida; Poales; Poaceae. The record is from RNAcentral.